This 497-nucleotide ribosomal RNA is filed under the name uncultured bacterium. Its description in RNAcentral is "partial 16S ribosomal RNA". It matches the Rfam family "Bacterial small subunit ribosomal RNA", at positions 28 to 507 of the family's 1533-position model. The record is from RNAcentral.
GAUGAACGCUGGCGGCGUGCCUAAUACAUGCAAGUCGAGCGAACAGACGAGGAGCUUGCUCCUCUGACGUUAGCGGCGGACGGGUGAGUAACACGUGGAUAACCUACCUAUAAGACUGGGAUAACUUCGGGAAACCGGAGCUAAUACCGGAUAAUAUAUUGAACCGCAUGGUUCAAUAGUGAAAGACGGUUUUGCUGUCACUUAUAGAUGGAUCCGCGCCGCAUUAGCUAGUUGGUAAUGUAACGGCUUACCAAGGCGACGCUGCGUAGCCGACCUGAGAGGGUGAUCGGUCACACUGGCACUGAGACACGCUCCAGACCCCUACGGGAGGCAGCAGUAGCGAAUCUUCCGCAAUGGGCGGAAGCCUGACGGAGCAACGCCGCGUGAGUGAUGAAGGUCUUCGGAUCGUAAAACUCUGUUAUUAGGGAAGAACAAAUGUGUAAGUAACUAUGCACGUCUUGACGGUACCUAAUCAGAAAGCCACGGCUAACUACGUG